RNAcentral lists this ribosomal RNA (305 nucleotides) under uncultured bacterium. Its description in RNAcentral is "bacterial SSU rRNA". It matches the Rfam family "Bacterial small subunit ribosomal RNA", at positions 338 to 660 of the family's 1533-position model. The record is from RNAcentral.
CCUACGGGGGGCAGCAGUGGGGAAUAUUGCACAAUGGGGGAAGCCCUGAUGCAGCAACGCCGCGUGAGUGAAGAAGUAUUUCGGUAUGUAAAGCUCUAUCAGCAGGGAAGAAGAUGACGGUACCUGACCAAGAAGCCCCGGCUAACUACGUGCCAGCAGCCGCGGUAAUACGUAGGGGGCAAGCGUUAUCCGGAUUUACUGGGUGUAAAGGGAGCGCAGGCGGUAUGGCAAGUCAGAUGUGAAAACCCAGGGCUCAACCCUGGGACUGCAUUUGAAACUGCCAUACUGGAGUGCCGGAGAGGUAA